CGUCCCUUAUCACCAUCCUUUCUACUUUGAUCUGAUUUACAGUUUCAUACUGCUUUCCUUUCUUUUCCUUUUUUUCUCCAUGUUUUCAAGUUUUUGCCUGUAUCCCUCAUCUCUUCUGCUCCUGUUUCCAAGUUUCCAUCUCACUUGUGAUUCCCCUCUCUCCCCCUUCCCUCUCAUCUGUCUCUGUCUCUCCCUCUCUUUAUCCUUCUCUCUCAUUCACUCCAUCUCUCUCAGGGGCCUGAAGUGAGGAUUGACAGAGGGGAAAUCCUGACUGACUGAAACCCAGCAGAUGAGUUCUUCUCUUCUCUUCUUUCUUUUUUUUUUUUUUUACCUCCCACCCCUUCGCUUUCUGCUCUUCCAUUUCUCCACCCUGAAUGCCUGCUACUUUGUCUCUCUCGUCUCCUUCACACCCGUGUCCUUCAUCUCCUCACCCCGUGCAGCUAAUUGUUCCUGAUCCAGCCUUGGCUUCUUGGAUUAAGCUGUUACUUUGAGGACUGAACUGUCGAUGAGACAAAACAACUUUUAAUAGAGAGAUGUUCACGAACAAGUUGAAUCAGACGUGAUAACAAACUGUUCCUCACUUUGUCUUCACAGUUAAUGGAUGACGGUCAAAAAGAAAGAAAAUGGAAACUAACACGACCAAUGACAGAAAAGAAGAAAAGGUUAGAAAACAAAAGCUCUUGGAUCCAGCAGGGUGGGAGCAGCAGCUGGACGGGCAACACUCAGAUCAAGCAACACUUUUGUUUCCAUCAGCACCGCCUGAAAUUCCAGAAAGUCAAACAGGUUUAAGUAAGACACAUCCACACCCCCUGCACUCAGAACCAGUCAGAGUGGCCUAAUCCUGGGGCAAAGUAAACAGGGUGUGACCUGUGAUUGCUCUAGUAUGAAUGAAACCUUUUCUUAUUGAAUGUGAAGUUAUAAUUUUUGAAGAAACUACAUUUCUCAAAAUCUAAAGUCAUUUCUUUCCACCACAAACUCAGAAAACAAUUAUCUCAGUUUCAAAAAUUAGAAAAUCAAGGCAAACCCUAAAUACAUUUGGCAAGUUUGCACAGGUACAGGUGGAAAACAAAUUGCAAAAACAAGCAAAAAAGGUGGAGCAAGGAAAGGAAAAGAGCCCAGUCAAGUUCCAACAAGCACAGCAGGAAUAAUCUCAGUUAAAAAAAAAACAUCUAUAGCAAUGAACCAACCAGUUUAUGUCAGUAAAUGCAGGGAAAUUAUGCUUCCGCUUAAGUACACCUCCAAGAACCAGUUUUAAACCACCUUUUAGACUACGUCAGCAUAUUUGAGACUCUUUAAAGCUGCAGAAAGAGAGAGACUUAGUCAUGAUUAAACAAUGCAGGUAGAUAAAUUGUAUUCCAGCUCUUAAGUAGCUUCUGGAACAUAAGGCGAAAACACUACCCCGGCCUAAUGUGACCUAAGGUGACAUCGCUGAUUAUGGAGUUUGUUUGUUUGUUUGUUUGUUUUAUUUCUUGUUAGUAAAACUUUGUUAUUUUAAGACAUUCUAUCAGCUAUUGAUAAAUUAAAUCUCAUACUAAUUCUCUGAUUAUCAAACCAAUGUCAGGGGUUGCUGAGUGGAUGUGGAGAAAAGGACUCAAACGCAGGACUCACGGUGAAGAUUCAGGGUGUUUAUUGUGAGGGACGAAUGACGAAAACAGGAGAUGGCUGACUGACUGAAUAACUGAAUGAACGGCUGACUGAUCUGAACUUGGAAGGCAAACAUGGGUCAUAGACAGCAGUGACAACAUCAAUGACGCGACGCCGACCAGGAGACAACUGAGGACUUAAAUACACUGGCUGAACAAUGACUGAUAGGUGACAGAACAAUGAGAUACACACAUGGACAGGAGGCUGAACAUGCUCAUGGGUGGCUCUUCAGCUGGACACACACAUGGCAGAUCCUGUGACCUUGUUACCGCCGUCGGACCGCAGCUAUUGGACUGCGAGGACGUGGCCGUGACGUGACUGUGGACUUUCAAAACAUCUGAUAGACCGUGUGCCUGUGUAUGUGUGUGUGUGUGUGUGUGUGUGUGUGUGUGUGUGUGUGUGUGUGUGUGUGUGUGUGUGUCAUUAGUAAAAAUAAAUAAAAUUAUAUAUAUUUUUGAAAUCCAUUUAAAGACAAUGUGAUGCUACUAUCUUUCUUACAUAAAUUGUGCCAGGGAAAUUACAUUUCCCUGGCACAAUUAAACAUUAAGUCUAUUGUUUUAAUGUUAAGAAAUUGCCUGCAUAUAUUUGUUGAAUAAACAGCCUUAUGUCAGAGCCUGUGUGUUGAUUAUUAUGUAUUAUUAUUUAAUUCAGCUAUGUGAUAUUGGCUGUGUUGAGGUUGCAGGAUGUAAAUCGGUAUUAAAAAAUAUUUUAAACAUGUGUUUUUUAAAGAUUACUUUGUAAAAGAUGAGAAUUUAACACGACAUUUGUAAAUGUAUUUUAUGUCUGCUGUAUGUAAGGGUGAUUGAGAGACAGCUAGUCACUAUACUCUUAAUUUUACCCUGUUUGAAGCUGUUACACAACUUGCUGCUCCUUCUCGUCAGUGUCACGUUGACUUCGAUCUCUUCUCUUCUGUCAAAGAAUACGAGCAGCUGCAUUAUGUCUACAAGCAAACAAUCUUAUUCGUAUACUUUUGUCCCUCUGCUGAGUACAUGACAGCCCUCGUUUUGUCUCGCAGACCUUUUAUUUGUCACAAUUUUACGUUUAAUUUGCGUGUGUGUGAGAGAGAGAGGAAGCAUGGCGGCAGAUGGGUGUGCUGGAGACUCCAAAAGCUGCUGCAAAUAGCCUUUCGGGGUCGGAGUUGGGGAAACAGAGCACAUACUGCCGAGCUUAAAAUCAUGGCAGUCUGUUCUUGUGAAACAUCUGGACUCUGUAAGCAUGACUGGCUCAUUUGUGUGUAUGAAAAUGUAGACAAAACAAUAAAAUAAAGCGACGGAACAUUCA
This is a long non-coding RNA of Astatotilapia calliptera (eastern happy), 2925 nucleotides long. The record is from Ensembl. Lineage: Eukaryota; Metazoa; Chordata; Actinopteri; Cichliformes; Cichlidae.